Molecule: RNase P RNA, 350 nt
Filed under: Alkalibacter rhizosphaerae
Lineage: Bacteria; Bacillati; Bacillota; Clostridia; Eubacteriales; Eubacteriaceae
Description: Bacterial RNase P class A
Rfam family: Bacterial RNase P class A
About the family: Ribonuclease P (RNase P) is a ubiquitous endoribonuclease, found in archaea, bacteria and eukarya as well as chloroplasts and mitochondria.
Source: Rfam by way of RNAcentral
CGUGCAAGCCAGAUGAUCGCGUGAACGAUCCCGCAAGGGUGUUCAUGAGGAAAGUCCGAGCUCCACAGGGCAGGGUGCCGGGUAACCCCCGGUGGAGGCAACUCCAAGGAAAGUGCAACAGAAAGGAAACCGCCUUGCGAUGCAAGGUAAGGGUGAAAGGGUGAGGUAAGAGCUCACCGGCGGCCAGGUAACUGUCCGGCUAUGUAAACCCCACCUGGUGCAAGACCAAGUUAGGACGCGAAGCAGUAGCCCGCUGUGUCCAAUGGUAGGUCGCUUGAGCUUUUCGGUAACGGAAAGCCUAGAUAGAUGAUCAUCUAAUACAGAACUCGGCUUAUAGGCUUGGACGCUCC